Molecule: long non-coding RNA, 881 nt
Filed under: Homo sapiens (human)
Lineage: Eukaryota; Metazoa; Chordata; Mammalia; Primates; Hominidae
Description: HSALNT0141349
Source: RNAcentral
GAGUGAGUGUUCCGGAGAGCACGUGUUAGGGAAGGAGGAGGCUGCGGGCUAACCUGCCGGGAGGGAGGAUGCUGCUGCCUGUUUCCUAUUAGUGACAACCCACCUCCUAAUCACGUCCUGCUUCAAACAAGGUAACAUUACAGGACAGCCUCCGAAACAAUAACUGUUUGAAUAUCCUUAAUCUUCGGCAACUUCAAUAACUCCCCCAAAUAUAUGUAAUCAGAGAAUUAACUUUUACAACUUUUGGUUAUUGUUUGCUUGAACCAUAAAGCAGAGCUCUUUCUGGGUGUUUGGUUCUGAUGCAUUUUAGUUAGUUUUUAAUUUUUUAUUAUUACAACUCUAAUUUUCUCACACAAUUAUCUACUUCUAAUAGGUUUUCAUUUAAAAAGGCAUGUAACUGAUGCCUAAUUUUAUACUGCUGGCCUAUUUGCUUUGUUUUAGCCAGAGUUUGGCAGACUUUGUAGACAAAAUGAAACGUUGCUCUAAAACUUUUAACACUUAAAUAAUCAUAAUACACUCGAUUUUUGCUCUGCCGAAAAUCUUCCCACUAAUGCUCUAAUGCAAUUGAUUGGUGGAAAACAAUAUACACAGUUUUUUUUCUCAAAGGGAUUUGGAAGUCACUCAAAAUUAAUUCCCCACUGAUGAGCAGAGAAGAAUCUCUCAAGAAGAAUUCCUCAAAAGCACGUGGAAAAUUUUCAUGACCUCUGCAGAGUGUAAGACAGUAUUUAAAAAGUCACUGGGGGCCAGGCAUGGUGGCUCACACCUGUAAUCCUGGCAAUUUGGGAGGCCAAGGCAGGCGGAUCACUUGAGGUCACAAGUUGGAGACCAGCCUGGCCAACAUGGUGAAACCCCAUCUCUACUAAAAAAAUUAGCUGGGCACA